UACGGGGGGAGCAAGCGUUGUUCGGAUUUACUGGGCGUAAAGGGCGCGUAGGCGGCCACCGCAAGUCGAUUGUGAAAUCUCCGGGCUUAACCCGGAAAGGUCAACCGAUACUGCGGGGCUAGAGUGCGGAAGGGGCAACUGGAAUUCUUGGUGUAGCGGUGAAAUGCGUAGAUAUCAAGAGGAACACCUGCGGCGAAGGCGGGUCUCUGGACAGUUCCUGACGCUGAGGCACGAAGGUCAGGGGAGCAAACGGG
RNAcentral lists this ribosomal RNA (254 nucleotides) under uncultured bacterium. RNAcentral's name for it is "partial 16S ribosomal RNA". It matches the Rfam family "Bacterial small subunit ribosomal RNA", at positions 524 to 776 of the family's 1533-position model. The record is from RNAcentral.